UACAGGCUAACACAUGCAAGUCGAGGGGCAGCAUUGGAGUAGCAAUACUUCAGAUGGCGACCGGCGCACGGGUGAGUAACACGUAUCCAACCUGCCGCUUACUCGGGGAUAGCCUUUCGAAAGAAAGAUUAAUACCCGAUGGUAUAAAGAGUUCGCAUGUUCUCUUUAUUAAAGAAUUUCGGUAAGCGAUGGGGAUGCGUUCCAUUAGAUAGUUGGCGGGGUAACGGCCCACCAAGUCUACGAUGGAUAGGGGUUCUGAGAGGAAGGUCCCCCCACAUUGGAACUGAGACACGGUCCAAACUCCUACGGGAGGCAGCAGUGAGGAAUAUUGGUCAAUGGACGAGAGUCUGAACCAGCCAAGUAGCGUGAAGGAUGACUGCCCUAUGGGUUGUAAACUUCUUUUAUAAGGGAAUAAAGUGAGGGACAUGUCCCUUUUUGUAUGUACCUUAUGAAUAAGGAUCGGCUAACUCCGUGCCAGCAGCUGC
RNAcentral lists this ribosomal RNA (485 nucleotides) under uncultured bacterium. RNAcentral describes it as "bacterial SSU rRNA". It matches the Rfam family "Bacterial small subunit ribosomal RNA", at positions 41 to 518 of the family's 1533-position model. The record is from RNAcentral.